AUGUCCCACGCGUCCACUGCGGUUCUGAGCGCACCGUGUGCGCCCACCUGACAGCUGCUCGCUAGGUUGUGUUCGCC
This 77-nucleotide small RNA is filed under the name Xanthomonas oryzae. RNAcentral describes it as "sX9". It matches the Rfam family "Xanthomonas sRNA sX9". The record is from RNAcentral. Lineage: Bacteria; Pseudomonadati; Pseudomonadota; Gammaproteobacteria; Lysobacterales; Lysobacteraceae.